GACGAACGCUGGCGGCGUGCCUAAUACAUGCAAGUCGAGCGGGCCUCCGGAGGUGCUUGCAUCUCCGGAAGGCCAGCGGCGGACGGGUGAGUAACACGUGGGCAACCUGCCUUUGAGGCCGGGAUAACACCGGGAAACCGGUGCUAAUACCGGAUACGUCCUCUUUCGCGCCUGCGAGAGGGGAGAAAGACGGUCUUUAAGGCCGUCGCUCAAAGAGGGGCCCGCGGCGCAUGAGCUGGUUGGUGGGGUAAGGGCCUACCAAGGCGACGAUGCGGUGCCGACCUGAGAGGGUGAGCGGCCACACUGGGACUGAGACACGGCCCAGACUCCUGCGGGAGGCAGCAGUAGGGAAUCAUCCGCAAUGGGCGAAAGCCUGACGGUGCCACGCCGCGUGAGUGAGGAAGGUUUUCGGAUCGUAAAGCUCUGUUGUGAGGGAAGAACAGCUUCCGGAGGAAAUGCCGGAGGUUUGCCGGUACCUCACCAGAAAGCCCCGGCUAACUACGUGCCAGCCGCCGCCGUAA
Molecule: ribosomal RNA, 521 nt
Filed under: uncultured bacterium
Lineage: Bacteria
Description: partial 16S ribosomal RNA
Rfam family: Bacterial small subunit ribosomal RNA
Source: RNAcentral